UACGGGGGGGGCAAGCGUUGUUCGGAAUUACUGGGCGUAAAGGGUUCGUAGGUGGCUUGCUAAGUCAGACGUGAAAUCCCUCAGCUUAACUGGGGAACUGCGUCUGAGACUGGCAAGCUCGAGUGCAGGAGAGGAACGCGGAAUUCCGGGUGUAGCGGUGAAAUGCGUAGAUAUCUGGAGGAACACCGGUGGCGAAGGCGGCGUUCUGGACUGCAACUGACACUGAUGAACGAAAGCCAGGGGAGCAAACGGG
This 253-nucleotide ribosomal RNA is filed under the name uncultured bacterium. Its description in RNAcentral is "partial 16S ribosomal RNA". It matches the Rfam family "Bacterial small subunit ribosomal RNA", at positions 524 to 776 of the family's 1533-position model. The record is from RNAcentral.